Drosophila serrata is the source of this 953-nucleotide long non-coding RNA. The record is from RefSeq and is a predicted model, not a curated record. Lineage: Eukaryota; Metazoa; Arthropoda; Insecta; Diptera; Drosophilidae.
GUUGCCUACGAAAUGAAUGUCAGUUUCAGGGAGGACUUGAAGUAAAAGAAUUUAUUGCAUCUAGUAGCUUUGGAUUUUCAGUCACGAAGAAAAAAUUUCAUUAUUAUUAUGUCAAUUUCUAGAACACUAUAAAUUUUUAUUUCUUAAUUUCGACACCUGCACUUUUUUCGACGCACUGCAAGUCGAUGAGCCUUCUUAGGCAAAACGGGAAAUUCCUCAUGGUCAAGCAGCAAAUCGGGAACUUCUCUUUCGACUAGAAAUUUCACCACUUCGUUGGACUGCGAAUCGGGAAACCUAACCUCUUGGACCUUCGAAUAGAGGGACAACUCCUCUUUAACGGACGUCGAAUCGGAAGAGACCUUCCCAUUGGAAUUAAAAUUUGAACUCCUCAUUGGAAUGGAAAGUCGGAUGGAAAGCCGGGGACCUCCAUAAAGAACGGCAAUUCCAGGAACCCUUUCUUUUCAUCAGACUCAACAUCCUUUUUGUGGGGCUCCAAAUUAAGGAUAUGUUCCAUUUCCUCAGACUCCAAAUCGAGGGUCACUUCCUUCUAGAAAAUGAAGAACCCAUCAUUCCCAGAUUGAAAGACGAAGGCAUCAAGGAACUCUUUUUCAACGUUCUCGUUUGACAGGAAGUCGUGGUACUUUCAACCGUGCAAUAUAUCUUCCUGACAGGAUGAAAGUCGAGCAACACUUCGUUCUCUUGAUACUGCUCUAUUUUCGCCAACAGGCUUAUCCUUCCUCCUGGGUUGGAAAAGCUUCCCAAAACUAAGUAUGAUCGUCCAAGCGAAAAUGACUAACUAAACCGCAGCCGUCGAUUAAGUCAAUUUUACAGUUAGCAGAAAAAACUUAUAAAUUAUCAAUGUCAAUAUGUAGCACAACUUGGUUUCCAGAAUUAAUCUUUCGUCGCACUAUAAUUUUGAAAUUUUUAAUAUAUUCAUGUCUAAAGCUCCAAUA